Molecule: ribosomal RNA, 253 nt
Filed under: uncultured bacterium
Lineage: Bacteria
Description: partial 16S ribosomal RNA
Rfam family: Bacterial small subunit ribosomal RNA
Source: RNAcentral
UACGGAGGGGGCUAGCGUUGUUCGGAAUUACUGGGCGUAAAGCGCACGUAGGCGGCUUUGUAAGUUAGAGGUGAAAGCCCGGAGCUCAACUCCGGAAUUGCCUUUAAGACUGCAUCGCUUGAAUCAUGGAGAGGUGAGUGGAAUUCCGAGUGUAGAGGUGAAAUUCGUAGAUAUUCGGAAGAACACCAGUGGCGAAGGCGACUCACUGGACAUGUAUUGACGCUGAGGCGCGAAAGCGUGGGGAGCAAACAGG